Long non-coding RNA from Anolis carolinensis (green anole), 1269 nucleotides. RefSeq lists it as uncharacterized. The record is from RefSeq and is a predicted model, not a curated record. The transcript is spliced from 3 exons. Lineage: Eukaryota; Metazoa; Chordata; Lepidosauria; Squamata; Anolidae.
AACUCUCCAAACAGAAUUGCCUGGAGCUCUUUUUUUUCUCUGCACUCUAAGACUUGGCUCCUCCCAUCUGCUCUGGUUGGCCAAUCCUAGGAGUCUCUCUCUAAGCUCCUCCCCAUUUCUAACCACACUCAAGAUGGCUGCCUGGCAUUCCUCAACAAAAUGGAUGCCUGCCUCACUCACUGUUACCAAGGUUUCAUUCCCGGCCUAAUAGACUAAAAGAUGCCAUUCCCUAAAAGGUUUUGCUCUUGCUCGAGGAGACUAUGCUGUUAGCUACUUUGUUAGGUAAGCUCUGUUAUUCCAAAACUUCCAUAGACUCCCCUCUCGCUUUUCACUGCUUCUUGUAAAGCUCUUCCCAGCUCAAGCUGCUGCCUGCCCUUGCUAAUAAUGCCUUGUCACGCAGUGACAGAAUUAUGCUCUCACACUGGUUUCACAUGUCACAAAUAAUUGCUCUCAUUGCUCAUCAUAUUGAAGUUGUCAGGACUCUCUUACGCCUAUAAUUUGUGCGAGUUGAUCAUACUUUGGUAAAUCAACAGGUCACGGCCUGUGACCUCUAACCCCGGUGACUGGCUGAGACCGACCUACAAAUCUUAUGACAGGGACAACAGCGAGGUCUCCAAUACUGUUUUCAUCAAGAGGGGAUGUACACAGUCAAGUUGCAUUUUGAAUGCCUGGAAAAGAAAAAGUAGAGACAUGGUAUUCUUGACAGAGACUUUUAUUGUGAAUGAGAGGGCAAUCCAGGCAUCUUUUGUUACUCCGAGCCUUCAAUAGCUCAGCAGCUAUAUACACCAGAGGAAAAGGAGACCUAUGAACCUGAGCAAAAGUAAUACUGCACAGAUCAGCUGGAAGGAGGUCAGGAAGGAAUUGUUUUUCAACUUAGAUGCUUUAACAGCAAGUUGUCAAAAGUAGUGCCCUGUAGAAACAUGUAUCCGAACACAGAGAUGGAUUCAUCAUCAGCUCCAAGCUGCAAAACACCAUCAGCGUAAAUGUUUACUUCUCAGCAAAAAAAAAAAAAAAAAGUAAAAAGAGCACAAUGAACAGAAGUGUCCUUUGUGACUGCAUCUCUCCAAAUGUCUGCCUGAGCCUUACCUCCCUUUACUUUCAUGAGUGAUAGAAAUGGUGAGAGGAAAGGAUCGGUAUCGCACACUUAUUAUUCCAGUUUGCAGAGACAACAGCUGGCUCUGGGUCCUUUGAUUGCCAGGUGUUUGUCUGAUGCCACAUGUUCAUUUGAAGGCCUUUUGUAAAUACACUGAAUAAAUGAAAGCAAAAGAC